RNAcentral lists this long non-coding RNA (797 nucleotides) under Cucumis sativus (cucumber). RNAcentral's name for it is "long non-coding RNA (CSAT_LNC002881)". The record is from RNAcentral. Lineage: Eukaryota; Viridiplantae; Streptophyta; Magnoliopsida; Cucurbitales; Cucurbitaceae.
UGGAAGAUUAAAAAAAGAUAAACAAGAAAAACUUCCACACCUGGCCUGUUGGGUUCAAGGGAUUUUGGCCUUGUUGCACCUUUUAAUAAAUUUGAAGCCAUCAAGAUGAUGAACCUGUCUCAAAUCAGCCAACCAAGUUUGCCAGAAAAACUUCUUGGUAAGUAUUACACCCAUUUUAGAUUUCGUCUAAUUUGAGUAAAAUCAAACUCAAACCCAAUUGAUUUCUUUACUUUGAAAAUUGUUCUUGUACUUAUUGUUCAUGUUUUGAUUUUUUCAAAUUUUAGUUCUACAUGAUAGAUAAUGGAUUAUUAGAGUAAAGACGUAGACAAGUCUCGAAAAAAAUUAUGAAUAAAAGUCAACAGAAUAUAUUCAUUUAUUAAUUCAACCGCUUAAAAAAUAAAGAAGAAUCUAUAUUCAUCGUAUAAUUUUCAUCUAGUUAAUUUUUUUUUAACAACUAUCAUUUUUGCUUUUAUACUUAAAAAAAACAUUCAUUUAACACUUUGGAUAAUUUUAAAAUAAAAACACACUUGUGUUUGAUAAUACUUUUACGAACAAACAUCUAUUGUUAUUUGUUAUACACUAAAAUGUUUAUAAUUAGAUUAUUUGUUACACACUAAGGUGUUUAUUAAUUUCUAAUUAUUAUAAAAUUACUUUACCCUUCAUGGUCAAAUGGAAGGAAAAGUCAUGGAAAGUGGUGAUUAGAGGUUGAUGAUGACAAUUGUUCGAGAUGAUAAUCAAAGGGUGUACCAACAAUCAUGUGAAAAAGGUGGUCGAAGGUGGGUUGAUAGGAAAGUGGU